AUACGUAGGGGGCAAGCGUUAUCCGGAUUUACUGGGUGUAAAGGGAGCGUAGACGGCGAUGCAAGUCUGAAGUGAAAGCCCGGGGCUCAACCCCGCGGACUGCUUUGGAAACUGUGUUGCUGGAGUGCAGGAGAGGUGAGUGGAAUUCCUAGUGUAGCGGUGAAAUGCGUAGAUAUUAGGGGGAACACCAGUGGCGAAGGCGGCUCACUGGACUGUAACGGACGUUGAGGCGCGAAAGCGUGGGGAGAAAACAGGAUUAGAUACCCUGGUAGUCCACGCCGUAAACGAUGAAUGCUAGGUGGCGGGGGGCAAAGCCCUUCGGUGCCACCGCUAACGCAUUAAGCAUUCCACCUGGGGAGUACGUUCGCAAGACUGAAACUUAAAUGAAUUGGCGGGG
Molecule: ribosomal RNA, 397 nt
Filed under: uncultured bacterium
Lineage: Bacteria
Description: partial 16S ribosomal RNA
Rfam family: Bacterial small subunit ribosomal RNA
Source: RNAcentral